UUGUGCAAGAGAAAGGUUGCUGUAUUUACCACGAUGAUUGGAAGACUGGCUGCUUUGACUCUUCUCUCUACAUUGUGUCACACCAAAGACCUGGCUCAGAUCUCUAUGAUUGUGGUCAAACCUGGUGAGGAUCUCAAUCUGACAUGUCCAACACUCACUGGGCAUAAAGCUGGUCUGUUUUACUGGUUUAAGCUGAAGUUUGGACACAUGAUCCAAACAAUUGCUGCAGGAAGUUUUGAAAAUGUAAAACUUGAAGAUAAAUUCGAAAACUCUAGAUUUACAGUCACAUUUAAGGAAGGCCUAUAUUUUUUAAACAUCAGAAAUGUGAACCAAGAAGAUGAAGCAACGUACUUCUGCCAGGCUGGAUCAGCGUAUGAAAUGAGAGUUCUAAGUGGUACUCUCGUAGCUGUAAAUGAUCAUAGAAAUCACCAGAACUCAGUCUACGUCAAACAAACACCGGAGAGGCAGUCCGUCCAGGAGGGCCACUCAGUGAGUCUCCACUGUUCCCUUCUCUCCCAGCACAAAGAAACCAGAGAGCAGUGUCCAGGUGAACAUGAUGUGUACUGGCUCCGAGCUGGAGUGGAAGAAUCCCAUCCAGCUGUCAUUUACACCUCAGAGACCACGAGAGUCAAAUCAGCGGGGAGAAGUUGUAUCUACAGUCUGUCAAAAACCAUUCACAACUCGUCUGAUGCUGGGACGUACUACUGCGCCGUGGCCACAUGUGGACAGAUCCUGUUUGGUGAAGGAACGACUGUCGACACAAAAAAAGAACAGCAGCUGUUUUUCAUUGUGCUCGGGACUCUGCUGCUCUACAGCCUGUUUGUGACUGCUGCUCUGAUUCUCUACAGAAACCAAAGGACGGUUUGUAAACAGUGCAAAGGAGAAAAAAUAGCCUCCAGUCAAGAAGACCAUCACAGAACAGCUGAAGAUCAACCAGAUACUGAGGCGUUGAUGACAUGCACUGAUGACAUGUACUAUACUCUGGAGCUGACCAGAGCAUGUGAGCGGAGCAGAGCGGGGAGCACGAGCGGAAGGAUUUUGGCCAGAGCGCAGAGCGUUUUUUAAAAAAAAGCUGGACCGGCACCUUAGCUUGCACUCCAUCCCGCUCCAAUUUUGCUCCGGUACCACUCACACCAUGCGUCUGAAGCAUGUCUCACCCAGAAUGCUCAGAUGCUCACACUUUUUUCUGUAGGCAACUGGACGACAACUCGAUAUACUAAAAUUAACACCAUCGUAAUUUUUUUAAAAACAUCAGUAUUUCCCCGUGUCUGAAACCGAGAAGAUGGUAAUAACAGAUUAACCGGGAUAGCGCCUUCAUUGCCACUGUGAGAGGAUUUAAUGACGUAUCUUUUUUCUUGAUCUUUUACGAGAUAAGGUGUCUAAUUUCUCUCCUAUCUAGUGAAUGCGAUGGGCUUCUGUGUUUUUGUUGAGUGAGCAGUGAGUGAGCUGAGUGGAGCGGGUAGAAAUUUGAGUGGAAGGUGGAGCGAUAAUUAGCAGAGCUAUGCUCUGGAGCUGACCAAUCAUUUUCUCCCUAUUUUUGUAUUGUUAUUUACCAGUGACUUUAUACAGAUGAUGUCACAUAGCAGCAGAGAAAAACCCUCAGGGCUCAAGAAGUGGUUUCUGAGAAACACUACCAAAAAUGCCUUGUUCUGAGCAUUUUAAGACAAUGCCAAAUGUUCAAAGUGUGAAAAAAGAAACAUGUAAGAGUUUUUGCUUAAAGGUAAAUUAUUUAUUUCGUUGCUGUAUAUCAGUCAUGUUUUGUGCUGCAGAGUAACUCUAUCUCCCUCACCCCCCCAACCUCUGUUAUGAUGUGGCCUCCCAUUGUAAGCAACCCCAGAAUGCUUUGUAGGUAGCCUUCUUGGCAAACUACAGGAGACAAUUUUUUCUCCCCAUCAUGUGGUCUGUAUUUUUUUUCACAGAGUCCUCAAUUCAACAGAAGUGAGCAGUGGAUGGAUUCACAUUCGGAUGGUGAGGAAGCAUCCCUGAACUAUGUAGCGCUGGAUUUUGCAGCAAGGAAAGCUCAAAGGUUUACAAGUAUCAGGGAGUCACCUCUGGACUGUACAUACU
Molecule: RNA transcript, 2067 nt
Organism: Cheilinus undulatus (humphead wrasse)
Lineage: Eukaryota; Metazoa; Chordata; Actinopteri; Labriformes; Labridae
Exons: 7
Source: RefSeq, a predicted model, not a curated record